RNAcentral lists this ribosomal RNA (317 nucleotides) under Hoplobatrachus rugulosus (rugose frog). RNAcentral describes it as "partial 12 ribosomal RNA". The record is from RNAcentral. Lineage: Eukaryota; Metazoa; Chordata; Amphibia; Anura; Dicroglossidae.
CUUAAAACCCAAAGGACUUGACGGUGUCCCACCCAACUARGAGGAGCCUGUUCUAUAAUCRAUAACCCCCGCUUCACCCAACCCCCCCUUGCUUUAUCASCCUGUAUACCUCCGUCGUAAACCCGCCGUAUGAAUGUACUUAAGCGGAUUCAAUGGUCUCCCACCAACACUUCGGGUCAAGGUGCASCCAAUGGAGGUGGUAAKUAAUGGGCUACAAUUUCUAAUCUAAAACAAACAAAUUACUGCAUGAAACACAKUCAUGAAGGAGGAUUUAGUAUUAAAAAAAAAUUANCKUKUUCUUUUUAACACGGCCCUGG